This 406-nucleotide ribosomal RNA is filed under the name uncultured prokaryote. RNAcentral describes it as "bacterial SSU rRNA". It matches the Rfam family "Bacterial small subunit ribosomal RNA", at positions 355 to 776 of the family's 1533-position model. The record is from RNAcentral. RNAcentral also lists the same sequence under 1 other name.
UGGGGAAUAUUGGGCAAUGGGGGCAACCCUGACCCAGCAACGCCGCGUGAAGGAAGGAGGUCUUCGGAUUGUAAACUUCUGUCUUCAGGGACGAAGAAGUGACGGUACCUGAAGAGGAAGCCCCGGCUAACUACGUGCCAGCAGCCGCGGUAAUACGUAGGGGGCAAGCGUUGUCCGGAAUUAUUGGGCGUAAAGGGCGCGUAGGCGGAGAUAUGUGUCAGCUGUGAAAACUACAGGCUUAACUUGUAACCUGCAGCUGAAACUGUAUCCCUUGAGUGCAGGAGAGGAAAGCGGAAUUCCCAGUGUAGCGGUGGAAUGCGUAGAUAUUGGGAGGAACACCAGUGGCGAAGGCGGCUUUCUGGACUGUAACUGACGCUGAGGCGCGAGAGCGUGGGGAGCAAACAGG